UUAUCAUUUCAUUUAAAUUACUACAUUAUUAGCAGGCAGGUUUGACUGGCAAUAUAAAUUUUUAAUUUAUUUAUUUAGCCGUUCAUUAACAAGUCCUGUGCUUUAUAAUAUAUAUAAAGAUGGUAAGGACGUGAAGAAAACAGGUUUGUAAAUGAUGUUGUACAUCACGCAGAUAGCUCAGACAAAGAAGCAGGAAUGUUUGACUGGAAAUAUAAACGAUGUUGUACAUAAUGCAGAUAGCUUAGAGAUUGGUGAAAUGGAGAAUGAGACUAACUACGGUGAAAAAAAUAAUGAAUAUCAAAAUGUGAAUGGUACUUUGUUUGACAUAAAUGGGCUUGAUUUUUUCUUGAAUUGAAUAUGUUGUAUUAAUGGUUCUUUUUAACUUGUUAAAACUUGAAGUUAUUAUCAAAUUUAUAUAUACUAUUUUUAUCAAAUAGUUAAUAUAAUUUUAUUUUGUUUAUUGAUUUUAUUCGGAGAA
Non-coding RNA from Hydra vulgaris (swiftwater hydra), 478 nucleotides. Lineage: Eukaryota; Metazoa; Cnidaria; Hydrozoa; Anthoathecata; Hydridae. The record is from RefSeq and is a predicted model, not a curated record.